GACCGACCACCUCUCUUCCUCUCCCAAUUCUUCUUCCGCUCACCAUUUCUCCUCUAACCGACGCCUCCAUCCGCAUCCCUCACGGCGUGUAACUCGACGGACGACGGCUGCAUGUCGACGCAACCCAGCAAUCGUCGUGCAUCUCUCCCUCGAGUGAUUGGAGCGUCGUGGCUUGUCAACGCUAGAUCCACCGCCGUCACACCACCAAUCUAACUGAACGACAGCCACUCCUUGUGCGGUUUAACUCACCAUUUAUUUUCGACCACACACAGCUGUUUGAAACCAUAGUUUUCGUGGGUGGUUAGAUCUUAGAGUUAGAUUUGAUUAUUAGAGGAAUUUUUUUCCACUGUACAGCCAUUCAAAAACUCGAAAUUGGGCGUUUUUAGCAUAACUUGGGCUAAAUUGAAGUGAGGAAAGCGUAAAAUCUCGGGGGAUCGAGUAAUUGAUUGUGAGUGGCUUAUUUCCAUGUAUAAAUCCCAGGAGAUCGAGUAAUUGAUUGUGAGUGGCUUAUUUUCAUGUAUUUUCAUUAUAAAUCUAGUAUGAUGGUUUCUAGUACAAAAAUUUAGAAUAUGAUUGCUUAAUGAAUUAUGUGUUUGAAUGGGUUAAGAUCUUGUAUUUCGGAAUUGUGGUUGAACCAAAACUUAUUAAACAAGGUUUAGAUGACAACUGGUUUCUAAACAUUCAUUGAUUUAUAACUAGACUUGAAGGAGUUCUAAAAGCAUGUAUUGAUGGCUAAGGAUUGAAAAUGAUUUGAAAACGUGUUUCCAACCAUGUUUGAUUUUUAAACUUGAAAUAUGUGAUUUUCAUAAAUGUUGGUGAUUACCCUAAAGGCUACGUGAAUGUGUUUCCGUAGCGUCACCUAUGAUUAUCAGGGGGUUUCGGGACUAAAAGAGGUCGUGACCGAAGAUCCGAGAACCUAAGCCUAGGUGAGGACAUAGAUGGAGGAUUGUGAUAUGGCUUUGUGCUUAGCUUAACCCAUGACAGGUGGCUCUAUGUGCACAUAGGAGCGGUAUGUUGUUACCGUGGUAGGUGCUAAGUAUGCAUGAGCUCCAUUCGAUCGCGUGUUUCCUUGUGGAUAUGGAUCAUGUGUGAGCUAUUAUGAGCCGUGUAUUUAGUAUGCUAUCAUGGUCAGAUUGGAUGGAGGUUGCUAUCGUGGCUGGUACUAAAUAUGCAUGAGCUAGUUUUGGGCACAUGAUUCCUUGGUCAUGUGCGAGCUAUCUUUGGCCAUAUAUUUAGUCACCUUGUCAUGGUUGAUUGG
Molecule: long non-coding RNA, 1258 nt
Organism: Cucumis melo (muskmelon)
Lineage: Eukaryota; Viridiplantae; Streptophyta; Magnoliopsida; Cucurbitales; Cucurbitaceae
Exons: 3
Source: RefSeq, a predicted model, not a curated record